This 190-nucleotide ribosomal RNA is filed under the name Calonectria colombiensis. RNAcentral's name for it is "partial 18S ribosomal RNA". It matches the Rfam family "Eukaryotic small subunit ribosomal RNA", at positions 1643 to 1831 of the family's 1831-position model. Lineage: Eukaryota; Fungi; Ascomycota; Sordariomycetes; Hypocreales; Nectriaceae. The record is from RNAcentral.
GUUUACGUCCCCUCCCUUUGUACACACCGCCCGUCGCUACUACCGAUUGAUGGCUCAGUGAGGCGUCCGGACUGGCCCAGAGAGGCGGGCAACUGCCACUCAGGGCCGGAAAGCUCUCCAAACUCGGUCAUUUAGAGGAAGUAAAAGUCGUAACAAGGUCUCCGUUGGUGAACCAGCGGAGGGAUCAUUA